Molecule: ribosomal RNA, 374 nt
Filed under: uncultured bacterium
Lineage: Bacteria
Description: partial 16S ribosomal RNA
Rfam family: Bacterial small subunit ribosomal RNA
Source: RNAcentral
UGGGGAAUUUUGGACAAUGGGCGCAAGCCUGAUCCAGCCAUGCCGCGUGCGGGAAGAAGGCCUUCGGGUUGUAAACCGCUUUUGUCAGGGAAGAAAUCUUCUGAGUUAAUACCUCGGGAGGAUGACGGUACCUGAAGAAUAAGCACCGGCUAACUACGUGCCAGCAGCCGCGGUAAUACGUAGGGUGCAAGCGUUAAUCGGAAUUACUGGGCGUAAAGCGUGCGCAGGCGGUUUUGUAAGACAGAGGUGAAAUCCCCGGGCUCAACCUGGGAGCUGCCUUUGUGACUGCAAGGCUUGAGUGCGGCAGAGGGGGGAUGGAAUUCCGCGUGUAGCAGUGAAAUGCGUAGAUAUGCGGAGGAACACCGAUGGCGCGA